RNAcentral lists this ribosomal RNA (253 nucleotides) under uncultured bacterium. RNAcentral describes it as "partial 16S ribosomal RNA". It matches the Rfam family "Bacterial small subunit ribosomal RNA", at positions 524 to 776 of the family's 1533-position model. The record is from RNAcentral.
UACGUAGGUGGCAAGCGUUGUCCGGAAUUACUGGGUGUAAAGGGCGUGUAGGUGGGAGAUUAAGUCAGAUGUGAAAGCCCGCAGCUUAACUGCGGUACUGCAUCUGAAACUAGUCUUCUUGAGUGCUGGAGAGGAAAGCGGAAUUCCAGGUGUAGCGGUGAAAUGCGUAGAUAUCUGGAGGAAUACCGGUGGCGAAGGCGGCAUCCUGGACCAUUACUGACACUGAACCGCGAAAGCUAGGGGAGCAAACGGG